Molecule: unclassified non-coding RNA, 300 nt
Organism: Erinaceus europaeus (western European hedgehog)
Lineage: Eukaryota; Metazoa; Chordata; Mammalia; Eulipotyphla; Erinaceidae
Gene: 7SK
Rfam family: 7SK RNA
About the family: 7SK was discovered as an abundant small nuclear RNA in the mid-70s but a possible function has only recently been suggested. Two independent studies have found that 7SK RNA binds the CDK9/cyclin T complex (known as elongation factor P-TEFb).
Source: Ensembl
GGAUCUGAGGGUGAUCUGCCUGCGACAUCUGUCACCCCAUUGAUCGCCAGGGUUGAUUCAGCUGAUCUGGCCAGCUAGGCGGGUGUCCCUUUCCUCCCUCCAUAUGCGUCCCUCCUGAAGCUGUGCACUCAGUUGAAGAGGAAGCCUUCCCCAAGACGGACCAGUCUUCGGUAGAGCUGCGCUGCCCUGCUAGAACCUCCAAACAAGCUCUCCAGAAGCUUCAGUGCUAUGCUUUCUUUUUCUGCUUGUCUUUGAGAAAGGUCAACCUAAAGCCUGGGGAAAUAGAGGAAUAACGGUUAU